RNAcentral lists this ribosomal RNA (468 nucleotides) under uncultured bacterium. RNAcentral's name for it is "partial 16S ribosomal RNA". It matches the Rfam family "Bacterial small subunit ribosomal RNA", at positions 28 to 507 of the family's 1533-position model. The record is from RNAcentral.
GACGAACGCUGGCGGCGUGCUUAACACAUGCCAGUCGAACGGAAAGGCCCUGCUUUUGUGGGGUGCUCGAGUGGCGAAAGGGUGGGUAACACGUGAGUAACCUGCCCUUGACUUUGGGAUAACUUCAGGAAACUGGGGCUAAUACCGGAUAGGAGCUCCUGCUGCAUGGUGGGGGUUGGAAAGUUUCGGCGGUUGGGGAUGGACUCGCGGCUUAUCAGCUUGUUGGUGGGGUAGUGGCUUACCAAGGCUUUGACGGGUAGCCGGCCUGAGAGGGUGACCGGCCACAUUGGGACUGAGAUACGGCCCAGACUCCUACGGGAGGCAGCAGUGGGGAAUAUUGCACAAUGGGCGGAAGCCUGAUGCAGCAACGCCGCGUGCGGGAUGACGGCCUUCGGGUUGUAAACCGCUUUCGCCUGUGACGAAGCGUGAGUGACGGUAAUGGGUAAAGAAGCACCGGCUAACUACGUG